GACGAACGCUGGCGGCGUGCUUACCACAUGCAAGUCGAACGAAGUGGCGAACGGGUGAGUAACGCGUAAUCAACCUGCCCUUCAGAGGGGGACAACAGUUGGAAACGACUGCUAAUCCCGCAUACUGAAGGAGGGGAUUGCGUCUGAUUAGCUCGUUGGAGGGGUAACGGCCCACGAAGGCGAUGAUCAGUAGCCGGUCGUAUAGUAUGAACGGCCACAUUGGGACUGAGAAACGGCCCAGACUCCUACGGGAGGCAGCAGUGGGGAAGCUUCCGCAAUGGACGAAAGUCUGACGGAGCAACGCCGCGUGAGUGAUGACGGCCUUCGGGUUGUAAAGCUCUGUUAAUCGGGACGCGGUACCGGAAUAGAAAGCCACGGCUAACUACGUGCCAGCAGCCGCGGUAAUAC
Molecule: ribosomal RNA, 408 nt
Filed under: uncultured bacterium
Lineage: Bacteria
Description: partial 16S ribosomal RNA
Rfam family: Bacterial small subunit ribosomal RNA
Source: RNAcentral